UUCAUGAUGAAGACCUCUAUCAAAGAGCUAAAAAUCAUGAUAUCUGGCUUCAGAUCUCUUACAUGGAGGGGAGUAGGCAGGAGGCAGCCCCAGCCAACUCAGACAUGAACACUUGUAACCUCUCAGUGAACCCCAGAAGCAGUCUAUCCAAAAACAGUUUCCUUUUGGCCUUAUUGGGAGUUGUUUGUAUCCUCUUGUGGAAUAGGAGAGGUCGGGGUGAUUUGUACAAGUGGAGCCUGGGGACAAUGUGUCUCUGUCUCUGCUCUGACAUCCCAGGUCCAGAGUGAACACAAAAACAACAAAACAGGGGGGAAAAUAAAUCUCUACUUUUGAGUGGGAUUCAUGCAGCUACCCAAUGGCUGCCAGCAAUGCCAAGGAACUCUGGUCAGAGCAAGGAUACGGCCUGCCCCGCGUGACAGAUGUCAGAUACCUAACACAGAAAACCCUGGUUCAGCUUUGCAUUACCGGCUAUGGCAAAACUAAGCUCUUCAUCACUCUCAGCCUGCUUCCAAAAAGAAAACCUAUGCAGAAUGAGUAGGAAGAGGAGCAGUUUUUUUAACCAGGACUUCAAGGAUUGUGAAGAGCUGGGAUCAAUGUGUAAAGGAUUUUCAGGCCUUAAUACCUCCUUAUCCUAACACAGUGCUCCUAUCUCCAAGGCCUGGUACAGGUUGCUCCUGUUACGAGAGUUAUAAACUUGGGCUGUUUAUACAUUGCUUACCACGGAAGAUGAAAUGCUGAAGUAAAUCUGGAGGCAGUACCUCUCCUUGACGUUGCUUGUUCCUCAGCCUGAAUUUAAUGAAUGCUAGAUGCUAGUCCAGAAGGUGAAGGCUCUUGAGGGAAGAAGCAGUGACUGACUGACAUCACCAGCUGAAUCAAAGGGAGAAAUAUGGCAAGCCACCAUGAGCAGGCUGCAAGCCAUGCAGGACAAUGACCAGGGAGAACUCUGUGCCCAGUCCCUGUGGGCACAUGCUGACCCAUCCAGGAGGAUGAAAAAAUACAGAAAAGUUUCCAAGAAUUGCUGCCUCCAGUACAUAAUGAAGUACACUGCUGUGUGCAAUGUGUUGGAGAGUAGCCUCAAAGUUGAAAUUCCAGGCUUUGCUUUUGAAGAGAGAGAUUGUGGUGCUUCAGUAUGACAGGGACUGCUAUUAGAAGCACAAAGGAUCAAACUGCGAUCAAAUCAAAAAAAAAGAUGAAAUGAUUUAAGAAGAAGCAUUAGCAAGCAAUUUAUUUAAAUAUCACACCUGGAUCAUCUCUCUCCUCCCCCAGAUGUCAGAGAUCUCUGGCAGAGAUGUAGCUGGUGAUAUACUGCCUCUGAAUCUUUCUGUCUCUGGAUCCCAUCACAAGACAACAUCCAGUGACAGCAGCCUGUAUCGAAAUGUCACAUAUGUCUUACAGUCACGCUCAUGUUUCUGGACUGGAUUAAAAUAAUUAUGUGGGGAACAGAGCUAGCGGACAGCAGUCCAUAUUUUUCUGCAGUCUAGCUGCAAGUGGCAGGUUGUAAUGGCAGGUGCAUGCUUGGGAUUAACAGAUAAAGGUAAUGUGUUAACGCAUCAAUCCCUAUAAAAUUGUUGCCUUGCUAGAUCAAGCAAGCUGUCUCCCUGUGAAAGCAGUUACUUCAGUGAAAGAAGCUAUAUGAGAUGUUUUGCCGACAGAAAACAUGCCAAUUGCAAAUCUUACCUCCCCACACCUCCAGCCAAUAUUACUAAAACAUGGAUCUGUCAUAUUGGCAACAUUAGUAAGGUGUUUUUUUUUUUUUUAUGUCUCACACCUCCUCACCUCUAAAUAACACUUGGGACAAGUUUGUUUGCUUCCUGCAUAUGCAAAAUGAUUAAUCCUCACCUAGUGGAAAAAAAAAAAAAAAAAAGAAGAAGGAGGAGAGGGCACAAGCAAACCAGCAUGUAAACACUGAUAGAUUUCAUUUAUUUUCAUUAUAGUCAAGUUUUCACUCCUUCCCCCUGAAAAGUUUUUUUUUCUUUCUGAGCUGGUAGUGAGAGGGUGCAUUAAACACAUUAAACAUGAAGAGGUGGUUAGCUUUACCUGUUAGCUUGAUCAUGUCAGUAAUACCUUCCUUGAAUAGCUACCACAUUGCUUCAUCCUACCCUCAGUAGUUCUAACCUCAUUUUAAAUGUUGUUUGUGCCUGAGAUUGGUUCAAUAAACCACUGCUGCAAGAGCA
This 2174-nucleotide long non-coding RNA is filed under the name Anas platyrhynchos platyrhynchos (common mallard). RNAcentral's name for it is "lncRNA (ENSAPLG00000017590.1)". The record is from RNAcentral. Lineage: Eukaryota; Metazoa; Chordata; Aves; Anseriformes; Anatidae.